Molecule: ribosomal RNA, 1346 nt
Filed under: uncultured bacterium
Lineage: Bacteria
Description: partial 16S ribosomal RNA
Rfam family: Bacterial small subunit ribosomal RNA
Source: RNAcentral
GACGAACGCUGGCGGCGUGCUUAACACAUGCAAGUCGAACGGAAAGGCCCUGCUUUUGUGGGGUGCCCGAGUGGCGAACGGGUGAGUAACACGUGAGUAACCUGCCCUUGACUUUGGGAUAACUUCAGGAAACUGGGGCUAAUACCGGAUAGGAGCUCCUGCUGCAUGGUGGGGGUUGGAAAGUUUCGGCGGUUGGGGAUGGACUCGCGGCUUAUCAGCUUGUUGGUGGGGUAGUGGCUUACCAAGGCUUUGACGGGUAGCCGGCCUGAGAGGGUGACCGGCCACAUUGGGACUGAGAUACGGCCCAGACUCCUACGGGAGGCAGCAGUGGGGAAUAUUGCACAAUGGGCGGAAGCCUGAUGCAGCAACGCCGCGUGCGGGAUGACGGCCUUCGGGUUGUAAACCGCUUUCGCCUGUGACGAAGCGUGAGUGACGGUAAUGGGUAAAGAAGCACCGGCUAACUACGUGCCAGCAGCCGCGGUGAUACGUAGGGUGCGAGCGUUGUCCGGAUUUAUUGGGCGUAAAGGGCUCGUAGGUGGUUGAUCGCGUCGGAAGUGUAAUCUUGGGGCUUAACCCUGAGCGUGCUUUCGAUACGGGUUGACUUGAGGAAGGUAGGGGAGAAUGGAAUUCCUGGUGGAGCGGUGGAAUGCGCAGAUAUCAGGAGGAACACCAGUGGCGAAGGCGGUUCUCUGGGCCAUUCCUGACGCUGAGGAGCGAAAGCGUGGGGAGCGAACAGGCUUAGAUACCCUGGUAGUCCACGCUGUAAACGGUGGGUACUAGGUGUGGGGUCCAUUCCACGGGUUCCGUGCCGUAGCUAACGCUUUAAGUACCCCGCCUGGGGAGUACGGCCGCAAGGCUAAAACCCAAAGGAAUUGACGGGGCCCCGCACAAGCGGCGGAGCAUGCGGAUUAAUUCGAUGCAACGCGUAGAACCUUACCUGGGUUUGACAUGGAUCGGGAGUGCUCAGAGAUGGGUGUGCCUCUUUUGGGGUCGGUUCACAGGUGGUGCAUGGCUGUCGUCAGCUCGUGUCGUGAGAUGUUGGGUUAAGUCCCGCAACGAGCGCAACCCUUGUUCACUGUUGCCAGCACGUUAUGGUGGGGACUCAGUGGAGACCGCCGGGGUCAACUCGGAGGAAGGUGGGGAUGACGUCAAGUCAUCAUGCCCCUUAUGUCCAGGGCUUCACGCAUGCUACAAUGGCUGGUACAGAGAGUGGCGAGCCUGUGAGGGUGAGCGAAUCUCGGAAAGCCGGUCUCAGUUCGGAUUGGGGUCUGCAACUCGACCUCAUGAAGUCGGAGUCGCUAGUAAUCGCAGAUCAGCAACGCUGCGGUGAAUACGUUCCCGGGGCU